This is a long non-coding RNA of Nerophis ophidion (straightnose pipefish), 2023 nucleotides long. RefSeq lists it as uncharacterized. The record is from RefSeq and is a predicted model, not a curated record. The transcript has 3 exons. Lineage: Eukaryota; Metazoa; Chordata; Actinopteri; Syngnathiformes; Syngnathidae.
GCGUCACAGCUGAGCGCGCACGUGCACGUCCAAACAUGCACUCGGCGUCUCAUCCUUCGCGAGGGCGCGAUACGUCACCGCAACCCGGAAAUGAAGGGCAAUGACGGUGAGGUGGGAGGAUGGAGGAGUUCCAUUAUCGGACAGGAAGUGCGGGGGGAAAAUGUGAUCACAAAAAAAGAGAGAAGAGUUUCCUGUGUACGUGCACGCCGGCGUGCGUCGCACUUCAGGUAGCCUUGCCGAGGCACGCCGAGGGUGGAGCUACAUGCUGCCAAUCACAGUGCAGUCUUUGGAAGUGGGAGGAAGCCGGAGUACCCGGAGGGAACCCACGCAUUCACGGGGAGAACAUGCAAACUCCACACAGAAAGAUCCCGAGCCUGGAUUUGAACCCAGGUCUGCAGGACCUUCGUAUUGUGAGGCAGACGCACUAAUAUAAAUAAACAAAAUGUAUAAUGCACAUGUUUUUUAACUAUGUUAUCAAUGCAAUUAAAAUGUAAAUAAAAAUACAGCUUCACCACUUUAGUUAUAAUUUUUGCGCUUUAAAAACUUUGAGGACUUUAGCUCCAAACAUCUUGUGUUUGUUUGAGAUUGCCGUUACACUGCAAAAAAUAACUGACAAAAUGUAAGAUAAAAAGACCGGAUUUUUGAACAAAAUACUAAAAACUAGUGAAAUUAUUGUUAGUUUUACUAGAUAAAACAUCCUAAGUUAAGAUUGAAUUAGCAUGACUUAAGAUAGAAAUAAGUAUUUUAUUAUUAAAACAAGCAUUAUUCAACUUGCAGUUUUUAUAUAUUGAAUCUUUACACAUUAUUUUCCAUGUAGGGAAAAACAAAUCUUAUUUAAAUAGUUUUUUUUUUUUCCAUUUUAACAUUUGUAAACUACAAUAGACAAAAUAUAUUUAGUCAUGCUAAAACUAAGAUUAAGAUGUAAAGUCAACGACUAAAGAUAAGGAAAGAGCUUUAAAAACUAGGGAAAUUUAUAGAAAUAAAAUGUCGGCCGGUGGCAAAUAACUUGGACUGUACUGCCACGAAUUGUGGGAAAGUAUAUUACAACUGACCAUACGGCCCACAACUGAGAAUAAUAUUUUUUGGCAGACCUCCGGAGGGCGCUCGCGACCCAACAAUAUAGGUUAAGAAAGACUGACCGAAGCUGUAUUUUUGUUUGCGCAAUGGCACCAUCUCUUGGACUACUUUGCUCACUGCAGGUGGAGCUGGGUAAAAGCUUUGAACCGAAAUUAGAAUUGUUAUUCUGUCUUCUAAUCAUCCAUAGCGUUUCUACUCGUAUGGAUUCUUCUUUCACCACUCCAAGCAACGUUUGUAAGUUUUACAAUACAACUAAAACUAUUCACACUUACUAAACCGUCCCAUGUGGGAUGUCUGUAGGAGAGUUUUCAUGCAUGUUUUUAUGUGCUAUUGUAAUGUAAUGAAACUAGCAUCGUUAGUAGCAGCUAAUAUGUCAACACAUGUAUCUGUGUUUGUUUUUUUUCCAGUUUUACAAAGUAAAUUCACCAAAACGUCACCGUGGCGUUAUUGGGUCUGAUUAGCAGAUUGGAGUGGGUCCAUGACGAUGACUUCUGUUUUGUUUGAUCAGCCGUUUUACUGCAGUGUUAAACGGAAACAAUUAAGGUAUUUAAAAAAAUAAUUAAAGAAUUGUACUGUGUAAAUAACUCAUUUCACAGCGUAUAUAUCUGCGGCUUAUAGUCUAUCCAUCCAUCCAUCCAUCCAUCUUCUUCCGCUUAUCCGAGGUCGGGUCACGGGGGCAACAGCCUAAGCAGGGAAACCCAGACUUCCCUCCCUCCAGCCACUUCGUCUGGCUCUUCGCGGGGGAUCCCGAGGCGUUCCCAGCCCAGCCGGGAGACAUAGUCUUCCCAACGUGUCCUGGGUAUUCCCUGUGGCCUCCUACCGGUUGGACGUGCCCUAAACACCUCCCUAGGGAGGCGUUCGGGUGGCAUCCUGACCAGAUGCCCGAACCACCUCAUCUGGCUCCUCUCGAUGUGAAGGAGCAGCGGCUUUGAGUUCCUCCCGGAUG